Molecule: long non-coding RNA, 586 nt
Filed under: Prunus persica (peach)
Lineage: Eukaryota; Viridiplantae; Streptophyta; Magnoliopsida; Rosales; Rosaceae
Description: long non-coding RNA (PPER_LNC006839)
Source: RNAcentral
GACGGUGGAUUCCACGACCAUUGAAAAACCGAAUACACGACGGUGAUUUACCGUCGUCUUUUUGCUUUUUUGUAGUAGUGAUAAAAAUAAACCCACAAUCCUACAAAGAUAAGAAUUUGAUUUUCUUUACUUUUAUUUUUAUUUUUAAGAAAGGUACUUAAGUUUUUUGGAAAGUGAUAUAAAUCUUAAUUUGUCAUAAGCAUAUUUUUUUUAAAUAAAUCAAAGGAUUAGGCGAGAUUAGCUCCUCAGUAUCGGUCAUCUGAUGCACAAACAUCCACCACUCAAGGAGGAGACUGACACUCAGGAAGGCCCCUGCUCGUCCACUUGAUCACAAUUUAUUAAUACGAAACAAAAAAGAUAUACAAGAACAGUAGGGGGACCAAACCAAACCAUGUAGAAGAGAAACACAAUAACAGAAAUGCACAACAACAUGCUGACCUAAGAGACCAAAACACUGAAAGAGUAAACAAAAGAAAGUAGGAGAACUGCAAAUUAGGCACGCCUAGCUAGUCCCGCUGACAAAAAGGCAAAACAAAAGAAGGUGCAAUAUCCCACCAAAUUAAACCAGAGCCCAAAGCACCAUGAU